GUUCACCUCUUUUUCCUUUCUACAUGCUCUCGAUCAUAUACAUAUACACCCAUUAUUUUCUUUAGUAUUCACCUAUUUUUCCAAAGCCAUGCCCCAUUUUAAGUGUUGUAACCCCUGAUCACUGAUACCCUGUCCGACUGACGUAGGGCCCCGUAACGUAUGUCAAGGCUCUGCCUAAACUCGUUGGGGUUAUGUCUCGUGACGUAGGGAUAAAGCAGAAUUGGGUCACUAUACUUAAUGUGACUGCACUAGAUAUUUUAUUAAAUAAUUCAGGAGUUGUAUCCAAAAUAUAACAACCCUCCCGAAUAUUUUUCUGACACCCUGCACUUCCUAAAAUACACCCAGUAUGUGAAAACUAAACCCGAAAUAUAAUACAGCAUUGAAAAUAAUGGAAAACAAGAAAAAGUAAGUUGAGGCGGGCCGUGUAGACCCACCCCAAACCUUACGCGGGCGGUAUGAAGGUUUAAACCUGAAUUCGUUGAUUCUUUAAGGUCAGGCGGGCCGCGUAAAGAUCCCCGUUAGUUAACGCGGGCCGCGAGGGAUCUAAAAGGUGGCGCAGCUCUGGGCCGCCACGUGGCCCAACACAUGUCGAAGCUAGAUAGUGACCCGGAUCACCUACGCUGUUGACCAGCGUUGACGCGGGCCGCGUAGACUUUGGUCUACCCUUACGCGGGCCGCGAGAAAACCCAAGUGAAGCACUAUAUAAGAAGGCCAUCGGGUUUCAUUCAGAAUUCGUUCAAAGUCAAUUUCUUUCUCUCAAAUUCUGAUAUAGGCUUUAUUAAGCGGGUAUUAUACCCCCCCUAAUUAGCGAAACUCUGCCUCGUUGUAAGUAUCAUAACCCCUGGAUACGUAUUAGAUACUCUGCCCGAUUGAUCUAGGGUUCCGUAACGGCUGUCGUGGUUCUGCUCGACGUAGUCGUUGGAAUACCGUCUCGGGGAGGGUAUUACUAAUGUUAAAAUGGGUUAUUAUACUAACACGUGUGCAUUGUAUAUUUAAUUAGAUUAUAACCAGGAAGUCACAAAGGAAAGCCCUAUGAUAGCAAUGUAACUUAGUAUGAAGCCAAUAAAAGCCAGCUGGAGAGCACUGAAGGCUUGGAAAAGUGGCAAUAAAGUUACCUAAAAUAAAAUAGAUGUUUUUUUUAAAUAAAAUAGGAUUUAUUCCUAUGAAAAUUUGUGUACUGCAAACUUGGGUUUUAUCCCAUGUGUUUAAUAUUAUGAAAAUAUGGUGGUU
RNAcentral lists this long non-coding RNA (1230 nucleotides) under Helianthus annuus (common sunflower). RNAcentral's name for it is "hypothetical non coding rna". Lineage: Eukaryota; Viridiplantae; Streptophyta; Magnoliopsida; Asterales; Asteraceae. The record is from RNAcentral.